GGGCUCGUAGCUCAUCGGCCAGAGCGUUCCCCUCGCACGGGAAAGGCAGCGAGUUCAAUUCUCGCCGGGUCCA
This 73-nucleotide transfer RNA is filed under the name archaeon GW2011_AR15. RNAcentral's name for it is "tRNA-Ala". It matches the Rfam family "tRNA". Rfam says of the family: Transfer RNA (tRNA) molecules are approximately 80 nucleotides in length. Their secondary structure includes four short double-helical elements and three loops (D, anti-codon, and T loops). RNAcentral also lists the same sequence under 1 other name. The record is from RNAcentral.